UACGUAGGCAGCGAGCGUUGUUCGGAGUUACUGGGCGUAAAGAGUGCGUAGGCGGUUUUCUAAGUUUGGUGUGAAAUCUCCCGGCUUAACUGGGAGGGUGCGCCGAAGACUGGAAGGCUUGAGUAUGGGAGAGGUAAGCGGAAUUCCUGGUGUAGCGGUGAAAUGCGUAGAUAUCAGGAGGAACACCUGGUGUAGACGGCUUACUGGACCAUAACUGACGCUGAGGCACGAAAGCGUGGGUAGCAAACAGG
This 251-nucleotide ribosomal RNA is filed under the name uncultured bacterium. RNAcentral's name for it is "partial 16S ribosomal RNA". It matches the Rfam family "Bacterial small subunit ribosomal RNA", at positions 524 to 776 of the family's 1533-position model. The record is from RNAcentral.